UCUAACCUAAGCAACGCAAACCCUACCUACUUUUGCGUCCUUGCAAGCCUCUACUUGCGCCAGUGUGAAUAAGUAUAUUCAAAAACUU
This is a small RNA of 88 nucleotides. It matches the Rfam family "BsrC". Rfam says of the family: The 301 nucleotide sequence from Kouji Nakamura has been trimmed to a highly conserved ~85 nucleotide long core to form this family. The record is from Rfam.